GGAAGUAAAAGUCGUAACAAGGUUUCCGUAGGUGAACCUGCGGAAGGAUCAUUAAUAAAAAAUAAGAGUGCACUUUAUUGUGGCUCAAACUUUUUUACACACACACACCACACCCUUAAGACUUGAUGACAUGACUUAAAAAUCAUUGUCAUCAGGUAUAAAGACUUGAUGACAUGACUUAAAAAUCAUUGUCAUUAGGUAUAAGUAACAUUAUGUUACAUUAUCCUUUUUAUUUUAAUUAUUCAAACACUUUUUUAAGAAGAAUGUAAAACCUUAUAAAGAAAUUAUAACUUUUAACAAUGGAUCUCUAGGCUCUCACAUCGAUGAAGAACACAGUGAAAUGUGAUAAGUAAUGUGAAUUGCAGAAUUCAGUGAAUCAUCGAAUCUUUGAACGCAUCUUGCGCCUUUUGGUAUUCCAAAAGGCACACCUGUUUGAGUGUCAUGAAACCCCCCUCAUUCAACUUUUUUAUAUUGAUGAAUGGAUGUUGAGUGUUGCUUUUGUUAGCUCACUUUAAAUAUAUAAGUCAUUUUCUGAAACUAUGAUGGAUUGACUUGGUGUAAUAAUUUUCACAUCAAGGAAAGUAGCAAUACUGCCAUCUAUUUUGGGGAGGACUCCUAAACACCUUUAUGUCACAUUUUAAGACCUCAAAUCAGGUGGGACUACCCGCUGAACUUAAGCAUAUCAAUAAGCGGAGGA
Molecule: ribosomal RNA, 697 nt
Filed under: uncultured Puccinia
Lineage: Eukaryota; Fungi; Basidiomycota; Pucciniomycetes; Pucciniales; Pucciniaceae
Description: eukaryotic LSU rRNA
Rfam family: 5.8S ribosomal RNA (bases 289-442)
Source: RNAcentral